UUAAGUUCAGCGGGUAUUCCUACCUGAUCCGAGGUCAACCUUGGUAUGUUGGGUGUUUUACGGCAAGCGCCCGCCGCCGCGACCAAAGCGAGAUGUUACUACUGCGCUCGGUGUGACAGCGAGCCCGCCACUGGUUUUAGGGGUCUGCGGCAGCCGCAGGACCCCAACGCAAGCCCGGGGGCUUGAUGGUUGAAAUGACG
Molecule: unclassified non-coding RNA, 200 nt
Filed under: Sordariales sp.
Lineage: Eukaryota; Fungi; Ascomycota; Sordariomycetes; Sordariales
Description: partial internal transcribed spacer 2
Source: RNAcentral